GGGUAAGGGCCCACCAAGGCGACGAUGGGUAGCUGGUCUGAGAGGACUAUCAGCCACACUGGCACUGAGACACGGGCCAGACUCCUACGGGAGGCAGCAGUGGGGAAUUUUGCGCAAUGGGCGAAAACCUGACGCAGCAACGCCGCGUGAAGGAUGAAGGCUCUCGAGUCGUAAACUUCUGUCUGGGGGAAAGAUGAUGACGGUACCCCCAAAGCAAGCCCCGGCUAAUUCCGUGCCAGCAGCCGCGCUAAUACGGAAGGGGCAAGCGUUGUUCGGAAUUAUUGGGCGUAAAGGGCGUGUAGGCGGCUUCUAAUGUCUGUGGUGAAAGGAUGCAGCUCACACUGCAUUCAGCCUUGGAAACUGUGGAGCUUGAGGCUGGGAGGGGCUGGUGGAAUUCCCUGUGUAGCGGUGAAAUGCGUAGAGAUGGGGGAGAACACUCGUGGCGAAGGCGGCCAGCCUGGACCAGUUCUGACGCUUGAGGCGCGAAAGCGUGGACAACAG
RNAcentral lists this ribosomal RNA (501 nucleotides) under uncultured Candidatus Entotheonella sp. RNAcentral describes it as "SSU rRNA". It matches the Rfam family "Bacterial small subunit ribosomal RNA", at positions 255 to 771 of the family's 1533-position model. Lineage: Bacteria; Pseudomonadati; Candidatus Tectimicrobiota; Candidatus Entotheonellia; Candidatus Entotheonellales; Candidatus Entotheonellaceae. The record is from RNAcentral.